GGUGAUCCUGACAUUGUCUCAAAACGUUCAGGGACUCCUCAUUGCCUACAAGUCCCAGGUUUGCCACUGCCUUGCUUCGUGGUUCUGGGUCCUGGACAUCACAAAUCAAGAGGCUGAAACUUGCCCGUCUGACCUUUUUGUGACGACGAAAAGUUGAGGACCGAUGUGGAUCUGGGUGAGACUGUAUUAAAGGCAGAUGUAAAAUUGUUUCUGCUAAGCACUGCUACCUUCUGCAACUGAAAGCUUUCCUUGGAAAUUCUUCUCAGCGAGGGCUCCCUUCUGCCAUCAAAACAAUGUCCUUUCCAUGCACCUUGAGAAGCGCAGCUCAGCCACUGGACACCUGGGACCGUUUCAAAGUUCAGCCCAGUCAACCUU
Molecule: non-coding RNA, 375 nt
Organism: Delphinapterus leucas (beluga whale)
Lineage: Eukaryota; Metazoa; Chordata; Mammalia; Artiodactyla; Monodontidae
Source: RefSeq, a predicted model, not a curated record